UAUUCUAAUUGGACUUGCAUCAAUUGUUAAUAUUAUUGGCCUUCCACAUUCACAAUUUACUUUCUUCAAAGUUGGAGGUGAAGAAAGAAAUUCUUUUAACUUUGCCAUAGCUUUUUUUUGUUCUUCUUUCUAUUGAAAUUUUUGAUUCUUUCAUAAUAACUCAUAUAAUGGAUGUGCUAUAUGUGCAAAAUGAGGUAUCCAUAUAUGAUAGAAGAUACAUGCUCCUAAAAAUCUCUUGACUUUUGUCGUAUUUGCAUACUCUUUCAUUUUUUUUUAUAAUAUCAACUUUUUUCCUACUUGGUUUGCGUCCAUAUAAACCACACAUGUGCCCUACUACCAAAACUUCUUUUAUUCCAAAUAUUGAUUAUGUCCCCAAUAAGGUUAAAUGAAAUUCUUCUAGCCUUAUCAAAAUCUUCUC
RNAcentral lists this long non-coding RNA (418 nucleotides) under Physcomitrium patens. Its description in RNAcentral is "long non-coding RNA (PPAT_LNC013386)". Lineage: Eukaryota; Viridiplantae; Streptophyta; Bryopsida; Funariales; Funariaceae. The record is from RNAcentral.